CGGACGGGUGAGUAACGCGUGGAAAACCUGCCGUAUACUGGGGGAUAACACUUAGAAAUAGGUGCUAAUACCGCAUAAGCGCACAGCUUCGCAUGAAGUGGUGUGAAAAACUCUGGUGGUAUACGAUGGUUCCGCGCCUGAUUAGCUUGUUGGUGGGGUAAUGGCUCACCAAGGCGACGAUCAGUAGCCGGCCUGAGAGGGUGAACGGCCACAUUGGGACUGAGACACGGCCCAAACUCCUACGGGAGGCAGCAG
RNAcentral lists this ribosomal RNA (255 nucleotides) under uncultured bacterium. RNAcentral's name for it is "partial 16S ribosomal RNA". It matches the Rfam family "Bacterial small subunit ribosomal RNA", at positions 99 to 354 of the family's 1533-position model. The record is from RNAcentral.